AGUCUGACGGAGCACGCCGCGUGAACGAUGAAGGCCUUCGGGUCGUAAAGUUCUGUUGUUAGGGAAGAACAAGUACCAGAGUAACUGCUGGUACCUUGACGGUACCUAACCAGAAAGCCACGGCUAACUACGUGCCAGCAGCCGCGGUAAUACGUAGGUGGCAAGCGUUGUCCGGAAUUAUUGGGCGUAAAGCGCGCGCAGGCGGUUUCUUAAGUCUGAUGUGAAAGCCCACGGCUCAACCGUGGAGGGUCAUUGGAAACUGGGGAACUUGAGUGCAGAAGAGGAGAGUGGAAUUCCACGUGUAGCGGUGAAAUGCGUAGAGAUGUGGAGGAACACCAGUGGCGAAGGCGACUCUCUGGUCUGUAACUGACGCUGAGGCGCGAAAGCGUGGGGAGCGAACAGGAUUAGAUACCCUGGUAGUCCACGCCGUAAACGAUGAGUGCUAAGUGUUAGAGGGUUUCCGCCCUUUAGUGCUGCAGCAAACGCAUUAAGCACUCCGCCUGGG
RNAcentral lists this ribosomal RNA (505 nucleotides) under Bacillus sp. 1WS17. Its description in RNAcentral is "bacterial SSU rRNA". It matches the Rfam family "Bacterial small subunit ribosomal RNA", at positions 380 to 877 of the family's 1533-position model. Lineage: Bacteria; Bacillati; Bacillota; Bacilli; Caryophanales; Bacillaceae. The record is from RNAcentral.